GAUGAACGCUGGCGGCGUGCCUAAUACAUGCAAGUCGAGCGAACGGACGAGAAGCUUGCUUCUCUGAUGUUAGCGGCGGACGGGUGAGUAACACGUGGAUAACCCACCUAUAAGACUGGGAUAACUUCGGGAAACCGGAGCUAAUACCGGAUAAUAUUUUGAACCGCAUGGUUCAAAAGUGAAAGACGGUCUUGCUGUCACUUAUAGAUGGAUCCGCGCUGCAUUAGCUAGUUGGUAAGGUAACGGCUUACCAAGGCAACGAUGCAUAGCCGACCUGAGAGGGUGAUCGGCCACACUGGAACUGAGACACGGUCCAGACUCCUACGGGAGGCAGCAGUAGGGAAUCUUCCGCAAUGGGCGAAAGCCUGACGGAGCAACGCCGCAUGAGUGAUGAAGGUCUUCGGAUCGUAAAACUCUGUUAUUAGGGAAGAACAUAUGUGUAAGUAACUGUGCACAUCUUGACGGUACCUAAUCAGAAAGCCACGGCUGACUACGUGCCAGCAGCCGCGGUAAUACGUAGGUGGCAAGCGUUGUCCGGAAUUAUUGGGCGUAAAGCGCGCGUAGGCGGUUUUUUAAGUCUGAUGUGAAAGCCCACGGCUCAACCGUGGAGGGUCAUUGGAAACUGGAAAACUUGAGUGCAGAAGAGGAAAGUGGAAUUCCAUGUGUAGCGGUGAAAUGCGCAGAGAUAUGGAGGAACACCAGUGGCGAAGGCGACUUUCUGGUCUGUAACUGACGCUGAUGUGCGAAAGCGUGGGGAUCAAACAGGAUUAGAUACCCUGGUAGUCCACGCCGUAAACGAUGAGUGCUAAGUGUUAGGGGGUUUCCGCCCCUUAGUGCUGCAGCUAACGCAUUAAGCACUCCGCCUGGGGAGUACGACCGCAAGGUUGAAACUCAAAGGAAUUGACGGGGACCCGCACAAGCGGUGGAGCAUGUGGUUUAAUUCGAAGCAACGCGAAGAACCUUACCAAAUCUUGACAUCCUUUGACAACUCUAGAGAUAGAGCCUUCCCCUUCGGGGGACAAAGUGACAGGUGGUGCAUGGUUGUCGUCAGCUCGUGUCGUGAGAUGUUGGGUUAAGUCCCGCAACGAGCGCAACCCUUAAGCUUAGUUGCCAUCAUUAAGUUGGGCACUCUAAGUUGACUGCCGGUGACAAACCGGAGGAAGGUGGGGAUGACGUCAAAUCAUCAUGCCCCUUAUGAUUUGGGCUACACACGUGCUACAAUGGACAAUACAAAGGGCAGCGAAACCGCGAGGUCAAGCAAAUCCCAUAAAGUUGUUCUCAGUUCGGAUUGUAGUCUGCAACUCGACUACAUGAAGCUGGAAUCGCUAGUAAUCGUAGAUCAGCAUGCUACGGUGAAUACGUUCCCGGGUCU
Molecule: ribosomal RNA, 1372 nt
Filed under: uncultured bacterium
Lineage: Bacteria
Description: bacterial SSU rRNA
Rfam family: Bacterial small subunit ribosomal RNA
Source: RNAcentral